CCUACGGGAGGCAGCAGUGGGGAAUUUUGGACAAUGGGCGAAAGCCUGAUCCAGCCAUUCCGCGUGAGUGAAGAAGGCCUUCGGGUUGUAAAGCUCUUUCGCAAGGGAAGAAAACUUAGAUACUAAUAUUAUCUGAGGUUGACGGUACCUUGAUAAGAAGCACCGGCUAACUACGUGCCAGCAGCCGCGGUAAUACGUAGGGUGCGAGCGUUAAUCGGAAUUACUGGGCGUAAAGCGUGCGCAGGCGGUUUUGUAAGUCAGAUGUGAAAUCCCCGAGCUCAACUUGGGAACUGCGUUUGAAACUACAAGACUAGAAUAUGUCAGAGGGGGGUAGAAUUCCACGUGUAGCAGUGAAAUGCGUAGAGAUGUGGAGGAAUACCAAUGGCGAAGGCAGCCCCCUGGGAUAAUAUUGACGCUCAUGCACGAAAGCGUGGGGAGCAAACAGGAUUAGAUACCCUGGUAGUCCACGCCCUAAACGAUGUCUACUAGUUGUUGGUGGAGUAAAAUCCAUGAGUAACGCAGCUAACGCGUGAAGUAGACCGCCUGGGGAGUACGGUCGCAAGAUUAAAACNCAAAUGAAAUUGACGG
RNAcentral lists this ribosomal RNA (588 nucleotides) under uncultured bacterium. RNAcentral's name for it is "bacterial SSU rRNA". It matches the Rfam family "Bacterial small subunit ribosomal RNA", at positions 338 to 916 of the family's 1533-position model. The record is from RNAcentral.